UGCCUCUGACGUUCAAUUUCAAAAGAAGUUUAAUAUCCUUGUCCUGUAGUGAUUUCGCGCUAGACAGAACUGCUGGCGGUGAUCGAAAGUAACCAGGAUGGAGUUGAUAAAUAUACUGUCUACAAGAGGAUGGCUUGCUGUUGGUGCUGUUAUACUUUUUGUCAUUUGGAUAAGAAAAAAGUGUCAAGUGUAUGACACGUUUAAAACGCAGGGAAUACAGGGCCAACCCCUUUUCCUUUGCUUGGUACUACAAUUCAUGCAUUUGCAUGUAAAGUAUUGCAUUUUUAUUGAUCUAAUUUUGCAAAUACUAUUGUUUUUUUCCCUUGAAAAAAAUCAUCCAGUAGUAUCAGCUUUACCAUUAGACCUACAUUCAUUUAUUUAAACAGAAUUUAAAAAGUGGGUUCUUUUUUCAAGAAUUUACUACAAUGGUUACAUUAUUAAGAAUCAUGUUGUCUGACAUAUCUUUCUGUACUCAUUGUUUACAGAAACUGCAGGUGGAUCAUGGGAGGGAAUACACAUAUUCCUAAUUCUUGCUAGCCAAAAGUAGCUUUAUCUACAGACUAAUCUAUUACAGUAUUCCUUCUCUUGGUAGGGUAUAUUUGACAGUUUGGAGAGUUACAGGAGACAGUAUGGAAACAUCUAUGGGUAAUUCAUUUGCUUGAUUGCUUUGCUAAUAUGGAAAUUGAGCGAUAAAGAAUUAAUCUUUACAGACAUAGUGUAAAUGUCUGUUGUUUUCUCAUGUUUUUGUGUGGGAUUUGGCUUCUGAUGAUAUUGGUAUCCAUU
Molecule: long non-coding RNA, 783 nt
Organism: Pomacea canaliculata
Lineage: Eukaryota; Metazoa; Mollusca; Gastropoda; Architaenioglossa; Ampullariidae
Exons: 3
Source: RefSeq, a predicted model, not a curated record